AUACUGCAGCCGAACGGUAUACAUUCUUCGGAAUCUUGAGAGCGGCGUACGGGUGCGGAACUGCUGUGCAACCUGCCUUUAUCUGGGGGAUAGCCUUUCGAAAGGGAGAUUAAUACCCCAUAAUAUAUUUAUCGGCAUCGAUGGAUAUUGAAAACUCCGGUGGAUAGAGAUGGGCACGCGCAAGAUUAGAUAGUUGGUGAGGUAACGGCUCACCAAGUCUGCGAUCUUUAGGGGGCCUGAGAGGGUGAUCCCCCACACUGGUACUGAGACACGGACCACACUCCUACGGGAGGCACCAGUGAGGAAUAUUGGACAAUGGGUGAGAGCCUGAUCCACCCAUCCCGCGUGAAGGACGACCGCCCUAUGGGUUGUAAACUUCUUUUGUAUAGGGAUAAACCUACUCUCGUGAGAGUAGCUGAAGGUACUAUACGAAUAAGCACCGGCUAACUCCGUGCCAUCAGCCGCGGUAAUACCGAGGGUGCAAGCGUUAUCCGGAUUUAUUGGGUUUAAAGGGUCCGUAGGCGGAUCUGUAAGUCAGUGGUGAAAUCUCACAGCUUAACUGUGAAACUGCCAUUGAUACUGCAGGUCUUGAGUGUUAUUGAAGUAUCUGGAAUAAGUAGUGUAGCGGUGAAAUGCAUAGAUAGUACUUAUAACACCAAUUGCGAAGGCAGGUUACUAAGCAACAACUGACGCUGAUGGACGAAAGCGUGGAGAGCGAACAGGAUUAAUACCCUGGUAGUCCAGGCCGUACACGAUGCUAACUCGUUUUUGGGCUUUCGGGUUCAGAGACUAAGCGAACGUGAUAAGUUAGCCACCUGGGGAGUACGUUCGCAAGACUGAAACUCAGAGGAAUUGACGGAGUCCCGCACAACCGGUGGAAUAUGUGGAUUAAUUCGAUGAUUCGCGAGGAACCUUACCAAGGUUCAAUGGGAAAUGACUGGUUUAGAAUGCACUUUCCUCGGACCUUUUCAAGGUGCUGCAAGGUGUCCUCGCUCCUGCCGUGAGUGCUAGGUAAGUCUGUAAUACCGAACCCGGUACAUUUGCUUAUAGUUGGGGAUCGGGGGAAUGCUACCCAAGCAAGGGAAGGUGGGAUA
RNAcentral lists this ribosomal RNA (1094 nucleotides) under Chryseobacterium sp. RNAcentral describes it as "bacterial SSU rRNA". It matches the Rfam family "Bacterial small subunit ribosomal RNA", at positions 51 to 1181 of the family's 1533-position model. Lineage: Bacteria; Pseudomonadati; Bacteroidota; Flavobacteriia; Flavobacteriales; Weeksellaceae. The record is from RNAcentral.